This is a long non-coding RNA of Oenanthe melanoleuca, 742 nucleotides long. RefSeq lists it as uncharacterized. The record is from RefSeq and is a predicted model, not a curated record. Lineage: Eukaryota; Metazoa; Chordata; Aves; Passeriformes; Muscicapidae. The transcript has 3 exons.
GUGGUUUCAGAGCUGAGGGGUGUGGGGCAGCACCGCCAGCCCAGUGUUUCCCUCUGCACCACAGGGACCAGAGCCCUGCCGGCCCCUGAGGCUGGACCCCACCUGGCUCCAGGCAGCCGGGCACUGGAGAGAUGAGGACUGUGUUGCCUUUGUAGGAAAGGCUUGCAGCUGUGGUUCAUUGGCUGCUGGCAGAGCUCUCUUCACUGAUUUGAGCACAACAAUACCUUCCCUGCAUGCCUUUCCAUUGCAAAGACAGGUUUUGCAGAAGAUUACUUAGGUUGCAAGGAAUUUUUCUAGUUUUGUGCUGAAGAGCAGCACAGAUGAGCACAGAGAUUAUGGGGGAAAAGCCAGUAUGAGCCAUUCCUAUUUGAAACUGGGGAAAAGCAGCCAGGAGUCAGAUGGACAAGGCUCCAGAUGGAUGGUGUGACUGAAAUAACACUUCAGCUGUACUCAUUUAGAUAACUAGAUGCGUGUCCAGAACACUUCCAGACUCAGCCACUAUGCACUGGAGGAUAGAAGGUAAAUUGCUAUAAUGGCUAGUGGCAAAGUUUUAUGUUGUGUUUCAUAUUUAGAUAAUGCAGAAAGCAAAUCCAGCACACGAGGGCAAAAGCAGUGCUGCCUGAACUAUCUAUAGCUUUACUAGCAGCACUUUGGUGCUUAUAAACCAGCCUCUGUCUUAAAUCAGGGAGAUACAUCAAAGCUCAGCUUUCCAUGGGAGAUGUGCAUCAGACAUAGUGUCAGC